Molecule: ribosomal RNA, 253 nt
Filed under: uncultured bacterium
Lineage: Bacteria
Description: partial 16S ribosomal RNA
Rfam family: Bacterial small subunit ribosomal RNA
Source: RNAcentral
UACGAAGGGGGCUAGCGUUGCUCGGAAUGACUGGGCGUAAAGGGCGCGUAGGCGGAUGACACAGUCAGAUGUGAAAUUCCCGGGCUUAACCUGGGGGCUGCAUUUGAUACGUGUUGUCUAGAGUGAGGAAGAGGGUUGUGGAAUUUCCAGUGUAGAGGUGAAAUUCGUAGAUAUUGGGAAGAACACCGGUGGCGAAGGCGGCAACCUGGUCCUUGACUGACGCUGAGGCGCGAAAGCGUGGGGAGCAAACAGG